This 478-nucleotide ribosomal RNA is filed under the name uncultured bacterium. RNAcentral's name for it is "bacterial SSU rRNA". It matches the Rfam family "Bacterial small subunit ribosomal RNA", at positions 30 to 506 of the family's 1533-position model. The record is from RNAcentral.
UUGAACGCUGGCGGCAUGCUUUACACAUGCAAGUCGAACGGUAGACCCUUUCGGGGGUUGAGAGUGGCGAACGGGUGAGUAAUGCAUCGGAACAUACCCAGUCGUGGGGGAUAACGUAGCGAAAGUUACGCUAAUACCGCAUACGAUCUAUGGAUGAAAGCGGGGGAUCGCAAGACCUCGCGCGAUUGGAGCGGCCGAUGUCAGAUUAGCUAGUUGGUGGGGUAAAGGCCCACCAAGGCGACGAUCUGUAGCUGGUCUGAGAGGACGACCAGCCACACUGGGACUGAGACACGGCCCAGACUCCUACGGGAGGCAGCAGUGGGGAAUUUUGGACAAUGGGCGCAAGCCUGAUCCAGCAAUGCCGCGUGCAGGAAGAAGGCCUUCGGGUUGUAAACUGCUUUUGUACGGAACGAAAAGGUCUGGGUUAAUACCCUGGGCUCAUGACGGUACCGUAAGAAUAAGCACCGGCUAACUACGU